RNAcentral lists this ribosomal RNA (466 nucleotides) under uncultured bacterium. RNAcentral's name for it is "partial 16S ribosomal RNA". It matches the Rfam family "Bacterial small subunit ribosomal RNA", at positions 28 to 507 of the family's 1533-position model. The record is from RNAcentral.
GACGAACGCUGGCGGCGCGCCUAACACAUGCAAGUCGAACGAGCGAGCGAGAGCUUGCUUUCUCGAGCGAGUGGCGGACGGGUGAGUAACGCGUGAGGAACCUGCCCUAAAGAGUGGGACAACAGAAGGAAACGACAGCUAAUACCGCAUAAGCCCACGGUGCCGCAUGGCACCGAGGGAAAAGGAGCCAUCCGCCGUGGGAUGGCGCCGCGUCCGGUUAGCUGGUUGGGGGGGGAAUGGCCCAUCAAGGCGAGGAACGGUAGCCGGACUGUGAGGCUGAACGGCCACAUCGGGACUGGGCCGCGGCCCAGACUCCUACGGGAGGCAGCAGUGGGUAAUACUGCACAAUGGGGGAAACCCUGAUGCCGCGACGCCGCGUGGAGGAAGAAGUUGUUCGGAAAGUAAACUCCUGUUGUAGGGGAAGAUAAUGACGGUACCCAACAAGGAAGCGACGGCUAACUACGUA